AGUCUGAAAUUCGACUUCAUGAAGCUGGAAUUGCUAGUAAUGGCAGGUCAGCAUACUGCCGUGAAUACGUUCCCCGGGCCUUGUACACACCGCCCGUCACACCAUGAGAGUUGGGAAUACCCGAAGCCUGUGAGCUAACUGUAAAGAGGCAGCAGUCGAAGGUAGAAUCAAUGAUUGGGGUGAAGUCGUAACAAGGUACC
Molecule: ribosomal RNA, 200 nt
Filed under: uncultured bacterium
Lineage: Bacteria
Description: partial 16S ribosomal RNA
Rfam family: Bacterial small subunit ribosomal RNA
Source: RNAcentral